AAAUUCUUAGUAUAAUAGUGUUAGUAUAUUUAAUUGCAAAUUAAAAGGUUAAGAGUUUUA
RNAcentral lists this transfer RNA (60 nucleotides) under Macropostrongyloides woodi. Its description in RNAcentral is "tRNA-Cys". Lineage: Eukaryota; Metazoa; Nematoda; Chromadorea; Rhabditida; Strongylidae. The record is from RNAcentral.